RNAcentral lists this non-coding RNA (180 nucleotides) under Lachnospiraceae bacterium KGMB03038. Its description in RNAcentral is "6S RNA". It matches the Rfam family "6S / SsrS RNA". From Rfam's summary of the family: E. coli 6S RNA was the first non coding RNA to be sequenced, but its function was unknown until recently. Lineage: Bacteria; Bacillati; Bacillota; Clostridia; Lachnospirales; Lachnospiraceae. The record is from RNAcentral.
GGAAACCUGGGAUGUACGACAACUCCUGUAAUUUUGAACCUACAAAACUUUAAACGGGACUCUUAUAUCUCUGUAAUAUGUCAAGCCUCCAAAGGCAGAGGAAGACAAAAAAGCAGAUGCGGACACCCACCUGGCUGCGGCUAGGAGUCAAAAUACAGGAACCGGCAUUUUGGGCUAUAC